This 676-nucleotide long non-coding RNA is filed under the name Mus musculus (house mouse). Its description in RNAcentral is "long non-coding RNA chr4:147392486-147393162". Lineage: Eukaryota; Metazoa; Chordata; Mammalia; Rodentia; Muridae. The record is from RNAcentral.
GAAAAAAUAUGUAAAAUAUUUUUUUAUGGGAAAAAAAGUUCUCCUGGGGAAAUGUGGCAUAUGUUUUACACGGGUAAUAUUCUUUUCAACAGUUAGUGCUCUAAACUAGAGAAUUAUGAAUCUGAAAACUUUUGAAAACCUUCAUGCAAUGUUCAAAUCUUAGAUAAUGUCAACUAUUAUGCUGGCAGUAACUCUGAAUAUAUGAUAAUGAAGAAACAUUUUCAUUAAACUUUUACUUGUUCACCCUCAAAUAUUAUAUGAUGAAGUCAGGUGUGAAAGCCAGAAGAAUAUGAUGUUGUGCAACAAUUCAUGGAGAUAGAAAUGAUCCAUUCCAAAAGGAAACUAAAUAAAGAGUGUACUAUCGCCUUCAAAAUGUCUAAUAAAACUGGCAGCAUUUUGUAUAUUUAAUUCAAAUGAAGAAAUUGACACAGAUUGUACUUGAUAGUGUAUUUGACAAACUGAGCCACCAAGACUGCAUGUUCUUAAUCCUAUAAUAUGCCUACAGAUGUGAAGUGUGCUUUGAGUAUCCAGUAUUCAUUAUUCUUAUCACGUCAAUGUGACAAAUGAUUUAUUGGUUUCACGUUUCAGGAUAGUGACUGACUAUGAGUCCCUUAUGCUCUGUCAACAUCUCCUUCCUCAUUGCCCUGUAAAUAAAGCUGAAUAUUUUAACAAGGUU